CCUACGGGAGGCAGCAGUGGGGAAUAAUGGGCAAUGGAGGAAACUCUGACGGAGCAACGCCGCGUGAAGGAUGAAGGUUUUCGGAAUGUAAACCUCUGGCGAGAGGGAAGAAGAAUGAAGGUACCGUGCAAGAAAGCGAAGGCACACUCAGUGCCAGCAGACGCGGUAAGACGUAGGGGGCGAGCGUUGUCCGGAAUGACUGGGCGUAAAGGGAGGGGAGGCGGCUUCUUAAGGUAUGUGUGACAGCACGCGGCUCAACCGAGGAAUUGCACAUAAAACUGGUAAGCUGGAGUGCAGGAGCGGUAACUGGAAUUCCCGGUGUAGCCGUGUAAUGCGUAGAUAUCGGGAGGAACUCCAGUGGCGAAGGCGACUUCCUGGACUGUAACUGACGCUGAGGCUCGAAAGCCUGGGGAGCGAACAGGAUUAGAUACCCUUGUAGUC
This 441-nucleotide ribosomal RNA is filed under the name uncultured bacterium. Its description in RNAcentral is "partial 16S ribosomal RNA". It matches the Rfam family "Bacterial small subunit ribosomal RNA", at positions 338 to 795 of the family's 1533-position model. The record is from RNAcentral.